AAUUAUAUUUCUAUGUUUGUUAAUAUCACUUUUCACAGGGGACUUAGUAGCUGGCUGGGAGGCUGUGAAAAAUGAUAUUAAGAAACAAGUAUCACUUUUCCCAGCAGCAGUCUUGCUAGCUAGCAGGUUUUUAAAAGGGGGAGUAGGGAGGCAAAAGAAACAACAAAAAGGACAAGAACAUGCAAAGUACCUUAUUUGUUUUUCUAUUCUAUUUAGGUCUACUAAAGAAUAGACAAUUGUACAUUAUUUUUAUUAUUGAGACUGAAAAAAAACCCGUAUAUAAAUUACAGUGACUUGGACAUGUGUAUGUCCAUAUUUAUUUGUUUUUCCUAAAGUUAAGUAUUUUAGGAAAAACUGUCGGAGCGGCCACCAGCAAGAGGUGGUAGCCUCACUUUGAGGCCACCACAAAAUUUGUUGUGAGAACUCCUGAUCUAUAUCAUGAGGAGUUGCCUA
This is a long non-coding RNA of Dermochelys coriacea (leatherback sea turtle), 453 nucleotides long. RefSeq lists it as uncharacterized. The record is from RefSeq and is a predicted model, not a curated record. The transcript is spliced from 3 exons. Lineage: Eukaryota; Metazoa; Chordata; Testudines; Dermochelyidae.